AAUCAACGCUGGCGGCGUGCCUCAGACAUGCAAGUCGAACGAUUAAAGCUCUCUUCGGAGAGUGUAUAGAGUGGCGCACGGGUGAGUAACACGUAAGUAAUCUACCUUUGAGUGGAGAAUAACAGUCGGAAACGACUGCUAAUACCGCAUAAUGCAGCGGCAUCGCAAGAUGACAGUUGUUAAAGGAGCAAUCCGCUUAAAGAGGAGCUGCGGCAGAUUAGCUAGUUGGUAAGGUAAUGGCUUACCAAGGCUACGAUCUGUAUCCGGUCUAAGAGGACGGUCGGACACACUGACACUGAAUAACGGGUCAGACUCCUACGGGAGGCAGCAGUCGGGAAUUUUGGGCAAUGGGCGAAAGCCCGACCCAGCAACGCCGCGUGAAGGAUGAAGUAUUUCGGUAUGUAAACUUCGAAAGAAUGGGAAGAAUAAAUGACGGUACCAUUUAUAAGGUCCGGCUAACUACGUGCCAGCAGCCGCCGUAAC
This 483-nucleotide ribosomal RNA is filed under the name uncultured bacterium. Its description in RNAcentral is "bacterial SSU rRNA". It matches the Rfam family "Bacterial small subunit ribosomal RNA", at positions 32 to 524 of the family's 1533-position model. The record is from RNAcentral.